Molecule: microRNA, 20 nt
Filed under: Drosophila virilis
Lineage: Eukaryota; Metazoa; Arthropoda; Insecta; Diptera; Drosophilidae
Description: dvi-miR-9702-5p
Source: miRBase by way of RNAcentral
UGAGCGUCGGUUGGUGUUUG